UGAGCACAGUCAGUAUCACAGGACAGGGCUUAUGGCCCUCCUUCCCCUCCAUGUACAAUGGGACUCUGUCUUUGAGCCUCCCUCCUCCCCACCAGGUUCCAUCGUCAUUGUCACUCUUUGCUCUUUCCAGUGCCCAGUCUGCCUUGGUUUAGGGGAAGAGUUCUUGCUCUCUGUCCCUGUUGCCCUCAUAGGCUUUCCAAAAUGGAAGCUAACCUGUUUUGGGGAGGGAGGAGGAAAGCACAGAAGAGACUCAUUGGUAAUCUUUGCCACAACCAUGUCCAUCCUCUGUCUCCUCAGGCCCCUCCUAGUCUCCAGGGACAAGGAACUUGGCUGAAACCUCUUUCUUGGGACCCAGACUGUCCAGGAUGAGGGUCAGCUAUGAGGAGAGGGCACAGACGGGAAGAUUCACCUUCAGGAGGGCGCUGGAGGGGCAGUAAGCCACCAGCCUCGCACAGCCUCUGGGGAGCAGGAUCACAUCAGGGCAGGGCUGCACUUGCCCUCCCGGGGAAAUACAGAAAAGCUAGAGCUGCACCUUCUCCAUGAUGGUCUGUUUUCUUUUUCAAUUGAGGUGAAAUUCUCCUAACAUACACUUGAGCAUUUUAAAAUGUACGGUAGUGCAUGCACAAUGCUUCCUGUGAAUAAACUUUCUUUAGUUUUGAAACUUUGGGCGCUGGCCGGGUAGCUCAGUUGUCCUCAUAUGCCAGGGUUGCGGGGGGGCUGGGGGGGUUUCGAUCCCAGUCAGAGCAAAUGAAUGCAGAACCAGCUAAUGAAUGCAUAAACAAGUGGAA
Molecule: long non-coding RNA, 788 nt
Organism: Myotis davidii
Lineage: Eukaryota; Metazoa; Chordata; Mammalia; Chiroptera; Vespertilionidae
Exons: 2
Source: RefSeq, a predicted model, not a curated record